GAUGAACGCUGGCGGCGUGCCUAAUACAUGCAAGUCGAGCGAACAGAUAAGGAGCUUGCUCCUUUGACGUUAGCGGCGGACGGGUGAGUAACACGUGGGUAACCUACCUAUAAGACUGGAAUAACUCCGGGAAACCGGGGCUAAUGCCGGAUAACAUAUAGAACCGCAUGGUUCUAUAGUGAAAGACGGUUUUGCUAUCACUUAUAGAUGGACCCGCGCCGUAUUAGCUAGUUGGUAAGGUAACGGCUUACCAAGGCAACGAUGCGUAGCCGACCUGAGAGGGUGAUCGGCCACACUGGAACUGAGACACGGUCCAGACUCCUACGGGAGGCAGCAGUAGGGAAUCUUCCGCAAAGGGCGAAAGCCUGACGGAGCAACGCCGCGUGAGUGAUGAAGGUCUUCGGAUCGUAAAACUCUGUUAUUAGGGAAGAACAAAUGUGUAAGUAACUGUGCACGUCUUGACGGUACCUAAUCAGAAAGCCACGGCUAACUACGUG
This 497-nucleotide ribosomal RNA is filed under the name uncultured bacterium. RNAcentral's name for it is "partial 16S ribosomal RNA". It matches the Rfam family "Bacterial small subunit ribosomal RNA", at positions 28 to 507 of the family's 1533-position model. The record is from RNAcentral.